ACAUGAGUUAAUGGCUUAAUGGGAGUGUGUGUACAUUGUAAUUUCUCUGUGUGUUUCCCUGAGAUGAAACAGCAACCUGUACAGGGUGUACUGCGUCUCUAGACUGACAACCGCUGCAGAUGGGCACCAAUUUUUCACCAGGAUCUUGUCCUGAUGAUGGUAGAAUCCAACCACUGUGCAAAGUCUAGACUUGAGACGACUCUCAGAUCAUAGGACUGGCCACCUUGGCUUGUACAGCAGACACUAGGCAUGAUGGGUUCAUCACUUCAUCUGCAACACUUUUUACCCCGAUGUGCUCUUCAUACCGGAAGAAGAAAGAUUUCCACAUAAGCCAAAUGAGGGAGGUGCAGGCACGCUUUKCAAAUCCUCUGUGGACAGAGGAAACAUGGAAGGGGCACAUGAUCGCACAUGGCGCUUGCACACUCCGAACCCCGCAGGCUAAACAGGUGGGGUUUAAGAAAAACCCAUACAGGGUGUAGGAACAUUCACAGGAUUAAAGGGGAAAUUAAACUGGACAAGGACCCCUCUCUGCCCCCCURUCACAGCCCUGUUUCUUAAUCUGUGUUUUUGUGACCAGCACACACAAAGACUGUGAGGAUGCAUGCAAGUGAUCCAAAGUUAAAGUCGGCGGUUUUGGAUGAGUGCGUGCAGUGACAUUGGAGGGACGACAACCAUAAACUACUCCACAUUUUACACCUUCAGCCAUAGGCGUA
Poecilia reticulata (guppy) is the source of this 713-nucleotide non-coding RNA. The record is from RefSeq and is a predicted model, not a curated record. NCBI's taxonomy places the organism in Eukaryota, Metazoa, Chordata, Actinopteri, Cyprinodontiformes, Poeciliidae.